RNAcentral lists this transfer RNA (92 nucleotides) under Clostridiales bacterium. RNAcentral describes it as "tRNA-Ser". It matches the Rfam family "tRNA". Rfam says of the family: Transfer RNA (tRNA) molecules are approximately 80 nucleotides in length. Their secondary structure includes four short double-helical elements and three loops (D, anti-codon, and T loops). Lineage: Bacteria; Bacillati; Bacillota; Clostridia; Eubacteriales. The record is from RNAcentral.
GGAGAAGUCGCCUAGUUGGCCUAGGGCGCACGACUGGAAAUCGUGUAGGGGCUAAAAACUCCUCGAGGGUUCAAAUCCCUCCUUCUCCGCCA